GGAAAAAUGUGCUAUACCCUCUGUUAAAUGACACAUUUCUCGAGGUAGAACUAUCGCAAAAAUAUGAUCAAUGGCUCAUUCGAGAGAAGACAUCUUCCCGAUGUAGUGUGGGUGACUUUAUCACAGUGCUACGUCAUACCGGCCGGAUUUCUGCCUGCUCUUCUCCAAUAACUCAGAUGCAUAUGAAAAUACGAAAUGACCCAGUUUACAAUAAUAUAAACAUACAACACGGCUAUCUGUGGAGGAAGUGUGAUGGUAACAAGCAGCCGAAGACAGACCGGAGUCCACAAGUGGGAGAAAGAAAAGGAGCAAGUAGCCUAGGCAGCGAGGGCUGAGGUGUCGUCUUACAGGACGGGAACCCUGCGCCUCAUCUUAAAAGGAAGGGGUGCCACAGCUUGUGGCAACAUGCAUCGUUGUCAAGUGCCCGAUGACCCUCAUUGUGCUAUGAGGAGGAAUGGGCUGACUCAAUGCCACACCUCCCACACAUUCUUAUGUCCGACUUAGAACAGUGAGACUACAGACGUUGGCAAUUGACCGUCGCACUGGUGCGGUUCUAGCAAACAAGUUUUACUAGAGGAUUUCUCUACGUAGUAAGCCAAUUGAAAUUAUUUUUGGUGAUCUUUCAACAAUAAAGGUCUUCACCAGACACAGUCACACACUCAUACAUACGUAGGCCUACAUCUCAUCCGUCUUUCCCCAGUCUUUCCUGUGUCUCCCCCCUUUCAGACAAAGGAAACAGUGCCUGGGUCAGAUAACCAACCCCCCUCUCUCUCCAGAGACCACUUCCUGUUGCUGUGUUUGUGUGUGUGUGUGUGUCUGUCUUUUCUCCCCCUUCUCAUCUGUCUGACCAUCCCUAAGACACCUGACCCCUCUCCUACCUCGGCCUGGCUCUGCCAGGUGUGGGUCUGUAUCCUGCCCACCUCCCGCUCUCUCAUUCUGUCUGUCUAUUCAUAGCGCCCUCAUUGAACAUGUUUUGGGGCACAGACUCUUGUGUGGUUAUUUCUUUCAACCUCCGCUCUGUCUGUGGCCUGUAUCAAAACUCCAUGAAUACAUGUUAUGCCAAAAGUUCAAAUACAUCAAGGCAGAUGUAUUCUAAUGGGAUUGUUAUUUCAAACUCUGGGUGGCCUUGGUACCUAUUCUGAAUCUCAG
This 1149-nucleotide long non-coding RNA is filed under the name Salmo salar (Atlantic salmon). RNAcentral describes it as "lncRNA (ENSSSAG00000085865.1, ENSSSAG00020081864.1)". The record is from RNAcentral. Lineage: Eukaryota; Metazoa; Chordata; Actinopteri; Salmoniformes; Salmonidae.